CACCACCAUUAUAUUAGCAAUUAGCUAGAACCUCAUUGGCACCACCAAGUAAUACCCAGAACCCCGGCACUGUGAACCACCUCAAGACGUCUGCACAGUCUCAAAGAAUGAAGGUUGGAGAAGCGAGUUUAACGUCCAUAAGUUUUUUUCUUUACUCUGUAUUUUGACAAUUGCAUUUAUUAUACUACAACACAGACUGAUUAAUAAGUUACGUUUGAGUUACAGGCACGCUAAGAAAACAUACAGUAGAAGAAAAUCACAGUUUUAAAGUGAAAACAGUCACAUUUUAUCUGCUACACAAAUAUUUCAGAAAAA
Thalassophryne amazonica is the source of this 315-nucleotide long non-coding RNA. RefSeq lists it as uncharacterized. The transcript is spliced from 2 exons. NCBI's taxonomy places the organism in Eukaryota, Metazoa, Chordata, Actinopteri, Batrachoidiformes, Batrachoididae. The record is from RefSeq and is a predicted model, not a curated record.